Saimiri boliviensis boliviensis (Bolivian squirrel monkey) is the source of this 371-nucleotide long non-coding RNA. The record is from Ensembl. Lineage: Eukaryota; Metazoa; Chordata; Mammalia; Primates; Cebidae.
GAAACAAGUAUACUCUAGCACUGAAGCCUACAUUUGUUCUAGGGGCACCUACCAAUCUUGAUGGCCUAGAACUUCUGUUGUUUGGGGCCACUGACAUGAAGGGAGCAGGAGACAAAACCCUACGUUUGAUGAGAUUUUUACAACAACUCACAAUUAAACUCUGCAUUGAAAAGCAGCGGGGGAAAGGCAUCUAUCACCUCUUAGAUGAGCAGCCUGUGAAGUGGAGUGAGUACCUCCUUGUUAACAAAUGCCAUGCCUGGAUUUCCUUUCACUUGAGAACUCUUGCUAUCACCGCAGAUGGAGAAAGGGCCCUGGAGGACACAGGACUUCCUUAACAUCCCCGUCCAGAAUACAUGCCUUAAAAACCUGUC